This 500-nucleotide ribosomal RNA is filed under the name uncultured bacterium. RNAcentral's name for it is "partial 16S ribosomal RNA". It matches the Rfam family "Bacterial small subunit ribosomal RNA", at positions 30 to 523 of the family's 1533-position model. The record is from RNAcentral.
AUUGAACGCUGGCGGAAUGCUUUACACAUGCAAGUCGAACGGCAGCACGGACUUCGGUCUGGUGGCGAGUGGCGAACGGGUGAGUAAUGUAUCGGAACGUGCCCAGUCGUGGGGGAUAACGUAGUGAAAAUUACGCUAAUACCGCAUACGAUCUAUGGAUGAAAGCGGGGGAUCGCAAGACCUCGCGCGAUUGGAGCGGCCGAUAUCAGAUUAGGUAGUUGGUGGGGUAAAGGCCCACCAAGCCAACGAUCUGUAGCUGGUCUGAGAGGACGACCAGCCACACUGGAACUGAGACACGGUCCAGACUCCUCCGGGAGGCAGCAGUGGGGAAUUUUGGACGAUGGGCGAAAGCCGGAUCCAGUCAUUCCGCGUGCAGGAUGAAGGCCCUCGGGUUGUAAACUGCUUUUGUACAGAACGAAAAGGUUUCUACUAAUACUAGGAGCUCAUGACGGUACUGUAAGAAUAAGCACCGGCUAACUACGUGCCAGCCGCCGCAGUAA